UACGUAGGGUGCAAGCGUUGUCCGGAAUUAUUGGGCGUAAAGAGCUCGUAGGCGGUCUGUCGCGUCGGCUGUGAAAACCCGAGGCUCAACCUCGGGCCUGCAGUCGAUACGGGCAAACUAGAGUACUGCAGGGGAGACUGGAAUUCCUGGUGUAGCGGUGAAAUGCGCAGAUAUCAGGAGGAACACCGGUGGCGAAGGCGGGUCUCUGGGCCGAUACUGACGCUGAGGAGCGAAAGCGUGGGGAGCGAACAGG
Molecule: ribosomal RNA, 253 nt
Filed under: uncultured bacterium
Lineage: Bacteria
Also listed under: 1 other name
Description: partial 16S ribosomal RNA
Rfam family: Bacterial small subunit ribosomal RNA
Source: RNAcentral